RNAcentral lists this transfer RNA (69 nucleotides) under Ictidomys tridecemlineatus (thirteen-lined ground squirrel). Its description in RNAcentral is "Spermophilus tridecemlineatus (thirteen-lined ground squirrel) tRNA". It matches the Rfam family "tRNA". Rfam says of the family: Transfer RNA (tRNA) molecules are approximately 80 nucleotides in length. Their secondary structure includes four short double-helical elements and three loops (D, anti-codon, and T loops). Lineage: Eukaryota; Metazoa; Chordata; Mammalia; Rodentia; Sciuridae. The record is from Rfam by way of RNAcentral.
GGGGUUGUGGCUCAGUGGUAGAGCACUUGCCUAGCAUGCAUCAGGCACUGGGUUCAAUCCCCAGCACCA